CCUACGGGUGGCAGCAGUGAGGAAUAUUGGUCAAUGGGCGGAAGCCUGAACCAGCCAAGUCGCGUGAGGGAUUAAGGCCCUGCGGGUCGUAAACCUCUUUUGCCGGGGAGCAGAGUUCCGCACGUGUCCGGGCCGGGAGAGUACCCGUAGACAAAGCAUCGGCUAACUCCGUGCCAGCAGCCGCGGUAAUACGGAGGAUGCGAGCGUUAUCCGGAUUUAUUGGGUUUAAAGGGUGCGUAGGCGGGCAUUUAAGCCGGCGGUCAAAUGUCGGGGCUCAACCCCGGCCUGCAGUCGGAACUGGGAGCCUUGAGUGGGCGAGAAGUAGGCGGAAUGCGUGGUGUAGCGGUGAAAUGCAUAGAUAUCACGCAGAACCCCGAUUGCGAAGGCAGCAUACCGGCGCCCGACUGACGCUGAGGCACGAAAGUGCGGGUAUCGAACAGGAUUAGAUACCCCUGUAGUC
RNAcentral lists this ribosomal RNA (460 nucleotides) under uncultured bacterium. RNAcentral's name for it is "partial 16S ribosomal RNA". It matches the Rfam family "Bacterial small subunit ribosomal RNA", at positions 338 to 795 of the family's 1533-position model. The record is from RNAcentral.